Molecule: ribosomal RNA, 253 nt
Filed under: uncultured bacterium
Lineage: Bacteria
Description: partial 16S ribosomal RNA
Rfam family: Bacterial small subunit ribosomal RNA
Source: RNAcentral
UACGAAGGGGGCUAGCGUUGUUCGGAAUUACUGGGCGUAAAGGGCGCGUAGGCGGCCUACUAAGUCAGACGUGAAAUCCCCCGGCUUAACCUGGGAACUGCGUCUGAUACUGGAAGGCUUGAGGAUGGGAGAGGGAUGUAGAAUUCCAGGUGUAGCGGUGAAAUGCGUAGAUAUCGGGAGGAACACCGGUGGCGAAGGCGGCCCCCUGGUUGGAUACUGACGCUGAGACGCGAAAGCGUGGGGAGCAAACAGG